Long non-coding RNA from Solanum stenotomum, 320 nucleotides. RefSeq lists it as uncharacterized. Lineage: Eukaryota; Viridiplantae; Streptophyta; Magnoliopsida; Solanales; Solanaceae. The transcript is spliced from 2 exons. The record is from RefSeq and is a predicted model, not a curated record.
CUUUCACCCUGCAUCUUGUUUCAUCGUAACAACAUCUCAACCCUCCAAUGUAAUCCGGCUCUAUAACUCGGUCAUGCUCGUCCUUGGUAACAUUAUAAAGAUCACACCUGCAUUCAGUACAUCCCAAUCUAUCUUCCGCACCUCGUGUAUCAAUUGCAUGUACAUUGAGCAACCAUUUCUCCUCGUAUCCAGAAGGUACUUCGACUGGAUUACCGAUUUCUAUUCCAUAAGGAUCUGGAACAUAGGUGAUUGUUUUUCGCGUCUCUGACCCAAGGCCAAAAUAUUGAGGAAGGCCUCUAUCACAUAUCCCUGAGUUUCUC